Molecule: non-coding RNA, 73 nt
Filed under: Methylocella silvestris
Lineage: Bacteria; Pseudomonadati; Pseudomonadota; Alphaproteobacteria; Hyphomicrobiales; Beijerinckiaceae
Source: RNAcentral
GGCGGUGAAAUCCCGCCGCGGUCGCGCCACUGUCAGCGCGCGUCAGCCAAACGGCGAAAGCGCGCGAGCCAGA